UGGGACACGCUUAUUUUUUAAGCUAGU
This 27-nucleotide non-coding RNA is filed under the name Mus musculus (house mouse). The record is from RNAcentral. Lineage: Eukaryota; Metazoa; Chordata; Mammalia; Rodentia; Muridae.